Molecule: ribosomal RNA, 550 nt
Filed under: uncultured bacterium
Lineage: Bacteria
Description: bacterial SSU rRNA
Rfam family: Bacterial small subunit ribosomal RNA
Source: RNAcentral
UAGGGAAUCUUCGGCAAUGGACGGAAGUCUGACCGAGCAACGCCGCGUGAGUGAAGAAGGUUUUCGGAUCGUAAAGCUCUGUUGUAAGAGAAGAACAAGUGUGAGAGUGGAAAGUUCACACUGUGACGGUAUCUUACCAGAAAGGGACGGCUAACUACGUGCCAGCAGCCGCGGUAAUACGUAGGUCCCGAGCGUUGUCCGGAUUUAUUGGGCGUAAAGCGAGCGCAGGCGGUUAGAUAAGUCUGAAGUUAAAGGCUGUGGCUUAACCAUAGUACGCUUUGGAAACUGUUUAACUUGAGUGCAAGAGGGGAGAGUGGAAUUCCAUGUGUAGCGGUGAAAUGCGUAGAUAUAUGGAGGAACACCGGUGGCGAAAGCGGCUCUCUGGCUUGUAACUGACGCUGAGGCUCGAAAGCGUGGGGAGCAAACAGGAUUAGAUACCCUGGUAGUCCACGCCGUAAACGAUGAGUGCUAGGUGUUAGACCCUUUCCGGGGUUUAGUGCCGCAGCUAACGCAUUAAGCACUCCGCCUGGGGAGUACGACCGCAAGGUUG